GAAGACUGCAGUUUUGCAUUGGUUGUGUUCAACAUUUACCAUCUGUCUUAUUUGUAAAAACUUUUAUGAUUAGUAUUUUUAUUGUUAUUAUAUGAUAAAAUAUGAAUAGUACUUUAUGUGAAACUAUUUUUUUUAAUAAGAUGGGCGAUCAAACUUGAACACGAAAUACACGACUACACUUAAA
RNAcentral lists this microRNA precursor (184 nucleotides) under Oryza nivara. RNAcentral's name for it is "MIR812 microRNA precursor family". It matches the Rfam family "MIR812 microRNA precursor family". The record is from Rfam by way of RNAcentral. Lineage: Eukaryota; Viridiplantae; Streptophyta; Magnoliopsida; Poales; Poaceae.